AACGAACGCUGGCGGCAUGCCUAACACAUGCAAGUCGAACGAGACCUUCGGGUCUAGUGGCGCACGGGUGCGUAACGCGUGGGAACCUGCCUUUAGGUUCGGAAUAACUCAGAGAAAUUUGAGCUAAUACCGGAUGAUGUCUUCGGACCAAAGAUUUAUCGCCUUUAGAUGGGCCCGCGUUGGAUUAGCUAGUUGGUGGGGUAAAGGCCUACCAAGGCGACGAUGCAUAGCUGGUCUGAGAGGAUGAUCAGACACACUGGGACUGAGACACGGCCCAGACUCCUACGGGAGGCAGCAGUGGGGAAUAUUGGACAAUGGGCGAAAGCCUGAUCCAGCAAUGCCGCGUGAGUGAUGAAGGCCUUAGGGUUGUAAAGCUCUUUUACCCGAGAUGAUAAUGACAGUAUCGGGAGAAUAAGCUCCGGCUAACUCCGUG
This 433-nucleotide ribosomal RNA is filed under the name uncultured bacterium. RNAcentral's name for it is "partial 16S ribosomal RNA". It matches the Rfam family "Bacterial small subunit ribosomal RNA", at positions 29 to 507 of the family's 1533-position model. The record is from RNAcentral.